GCUAAACGCGAAGAACCUUACCUACUCUUGACAUCCACAGAAGAGACCAGAGAUGGACUUGUGCCUUCGGGAACUGUGAGACAGGUGCUGCAUGGCUGUCGUCAGCUCGUGUUGUGAAAUGUUGGGUUAAGUCCCGCAACGAGCGCAACCCCUAUCCUUAUUGCCAGCACGUAAUGGUGGGAACUCGUAACCGGGGUUAACGACUGCCGGUGAUAAACCGGAGGAAGUGGGGACGACGUCAAGUCAUCAUGGCCCUUACGAGUAGGGCUACACACGUGCUACAAUGGCGAGUACAGAGGGUUGCAAAGCCGCGAGGUGGAGCUAAUCUCACAAAGCUCGUCGGUUUAAAAAGUCCGGAUUGGAGUCUGCAACUCGACUCCAUGAAGUCGGAAUCGCUAGUAAUCGUGGAUCAGAAUGCCACGGUGAAUACGUUCCCGGGUCUUGUACACACCG
This 453-nucleotide ribosomal RNA is filed under the name uncultured bacterium. RNAcentral's name for it is "bacterial SSU rRNA". It matches the Rfam family "Bacterial small subunit ribosomal RNA", at positions 954 to 1392 of the family's 1533-position model. The record is from RNAcentral.